GGCGCCGUGGCUUAGCUGGUUAAAGCGCCUGUUUAGUAAACAGGAGAUUCUGGGUGCGAAUCCCGGCGGUGCCU
Molecule: non-coding RNA, 74 nt
Organism: Manis javanica (Malayan pangolin)
Lineage: Eukaryota; Metazoa; Chordata; Mammalia; Pholidota; Manidae
Source: the annotation of a RefSeq genome assembly